AGGCGCGUAGCUCAGCGGUAGAGCACUGCCUUGACACGGCAGUGGUCGAGGGUUCGAUUCCCCCCGCGCCUA
RNAcentral lists this transfer RNA (72 nucleotides) under Anaeromyxobacter oryzae. RNAcentral describes it as "tRNA-Val". It matches the Rfam family "tRNA". Rfam says of the family: Transfer RNA (tRNA) molecules are approximately 80 nucleotides in length. Lineage: Bacteria; Pseudomonadati; Myxococcota; Myxococcia; Myxococcales; Anaeromyxobacteraceae. The record is from RNAcentral.